RNAcentral lists this ribosomal RNA (497 nucleotides) under uncultured bacterium. RNAcentral describes it as "partial 16S ribosomal RNA". It matches the Rfam family "Bacterial small subunit ribosomal RNA", at positions 28 to 507 of the family's 1533-position model. The record is from RNAcentral.
GAUGAACGCUGGCGGCGUGCCUAAUACAUGCAAGUCGAGCGAAAGGACGAUAAGCUUGCUUCUCUGAUGUUAGCGGAGGACGGGUGUGUAACACGUGGAUAACCUACCUAUCAGACUGGGAUAACUUCGGGAAACCGGCGCUAAUACCGGAUGAUCUUUUGAACCGCAUGGUUCAAAAGUGAAAGACGGUCUUGCUGUCACUUAUAGAUGGAUCCGCGCUGCAUUAGCUAGUUGGUAAGGUAACGGCUUACCAAGGCAACGAUGCGUAGCCGACCUGAGAGGGGGAUCGCCCACACGGGAGCUGAGACAGGGUCCAGACUCCUACGGUAGGGAGCAGUCGGGAACCUUCCGCAAUAGGCGAAAGCCUUACGGAGCAACGCCGCGCGAGUGAUGACGGUCUCGGGAUCGUAAAACCCUGUUAUGAGGUAUGAACAGAUGUGUAAGUAACUGUGCAGAUCGUGACGGUACCUAAUCAGAAAGCCACGGCUAACUACGUG